RNAcentral lists this ribosomal RNA (1620 nucleotides) under Shigella sonnei. RNAcentral's name for it is "partial 23S ribosomal RNA". It matches the Rfam family "Bacterial large subunit ribosomal RNA", at positions 1337 to 2925 of the family's 2925-position model. The record is from RNAcentral. Lineage: Bacteria; Pseudomonadati; Pseudomonadota; Gammaproteobacteria; Enterobacterales; Enterobacteriaceae.
CCGGAAGACCAAGGGUUCCUGUCCAACGUUAAUCGGGGCAGGGUGAGUCGACCCCUAAGGCGAGGCCGAAAGGCGUAGUCGAUGGGAAACAGGUUAAUAUUCCUGUACUUGGUGUUACUGCGAAGGGGGGACGGAGAAGGCUAUGUUGGCCGGGCGACGGUUGUCCCGGUUUAAGCGUGUAGGCUGGUUUUCCAGGCAAAUCCGGAAAAUCAAGGCUGAGGCGUGAUGACGAGGCACUACGGUGCUGAAGCAACAAAUGCCCUGCUUCCAGGAAAAGCCUCUAAGCAUCAGGUAACAUCAAAUCGUACCCCAAACCGACACAGGUGGUCAGGUAGAGAAUACCAAGGCGCUUGAGAGAACUCGGGUGAAGGAACUAGGCAAAAUGGUGCCGUAACUUCGGGAGAAGGCACGCUGAUAUGUAGGUGAAGUCCCUUGCGGAUGGAGCUGAAAUCAGUCGAAGAUACCAGCUGGCUGCAACUGUUUAUUAAAAACACAGCACUGUGCAAACACGAAAGUGGACGUAUACGGUGUGACGCCUGCCCGGUGCCGGAAGGUUAAUUGAUGGGGUCAGCGCAAGCGAAGCUCUUGAUCGAAGCCCCGGUAAACGGCGGCCGUAACUAUAACGGUCCUAAGGUAGCGAAAUUCCUUGUCGGGUAAGUUCCGACCUGCACGAAUGGCGUAAUGAUGGCCAGGCUGUCUCCACCCGAGACUCAGUGAAAUUGAACUCGCUGUGAAGAUGCAGUGUACCCGCGGCAAGACGGAAAGACCCCGUGAACCUUUACUAUAGCUUGACACUGAACAUUGAGCCUUGAUGUGUAGGAUAGGUGGGAGGCUUUGAAGUGUGGACGCCAGUCUGCAUGGAGCCGGCCUUGAAAUACCACCCUUUAAUGUUUGAUGUUCUAACGUGGACCCGUGAUCCGGGUUGCGGACAGUGUCUGGUGGGUAGUUUGACUGGGGCGGUCUCCUCCUAAAGAGUAACGGAGGAGCACGAAGGUUGGCUAAUCCUGGUCGGACAUCAGGAGGUUAGUGCAAUGGCAUAAGCCAGCUUGACUGCGAGCGUGACGGCGCGAGCAGGUGCGAAAGCAGGUCAUAGUGAUCCGGUGGUUCUGAAUGGAAGGGCCAUCGCUCAACGGAUAAAAGGUACUCCGGGGAUAACAGGCUGAUACCGCCCAAGAGUUCAUAUCGACGGCGGUGUUUGGCACCUCGAUGUCGGCUCAUCACAUCCUGGGGCUGAAGUAGGUCCCAAGGGUAUGGCUGUUCGCCAUUUAAAGUGGUACGCGAGCUGGGUUUAGAACGUCGUGAGACAGUUCGGUCCCUAUCUGCCGUGGGCGCUGGAGAACUGAGGGGGGCUGCUCCUAGUACGAGAGGACCGGAGUGGACGCAUCACUGGUGUUCGGGUUGUCAUGCCAAUGGCACUGCCCGGUAGCUAAAUGCGGAAGAGAUAAGUGCUGAAAGCAUCUAAGCACGAAACUUGCCCCGAGAUGAGUUCUCCCUGACCCUUUAAGGGUCCUGAAGGAACGUUGAAGACGACGACGUUGAUAGGCCGGGUGUGUAAGCGCAGCGAUGCGUUGAGCUAACCGGUACUAAUGAACCGUGAGGCUUAACCUUACAACGCCGAAG